This 727-nucleotide ribosomal RNA is filed under the name Delftia sp. CCM-071. RNAcentral describes it as "bacterial SSU rRNA". It matches the Rfam family "Bacterial small subunit ribosomal RNA", at positions 21 to 745 of the family's 1533-position model. The record is from RNAcentral. Lineage: Bacteria; Pseudomonadati; Pseudomonadota; Betaproteobacteria; Burkholderiales; Comamonadaceae.
GGCUCAGAUUGAACGCUGGCGGCAUGCCUUACACAUGCAAGUCGAACGGUAACAGGUCUUCGGACGCUGACGAGUGGCGAACGGGUGAGUAAUACAUCGGAACGUGCCCAGUCGUGGGGGAUAACUACUCGAAAGAGUAGCUAAUACCGCAUACGAUCUGAGGAUGAAAGCGGGGGACCUUCGGGCCUCGCGCGAUUGGAGCGGCCGAUGGCAGAUUAGGUAGUUGGUGGGAUAAAAGCUUACCAAGCCGACGAUCUGUAGCUGGUCUGAGAGGACGACCAGCCACACUGGGACUGAGACACGGCCCAGACUCCUACGGGAGGCAGCAGUGGGGAAUUUUGGACAAUGGGCGAAAGCCUGAUCCAGCAAUGCCGCGUGCAGGAUGAAGGCCUUCGGGUUGUAAACUGCUUUUGUACGGAACGAAAAAGCUCCUUCUAAUACAGGGGGCCCAUGACGGUACCGUAAGAAUAAGCACCGGCUAACUACGUGCCAGCAGCCGCGGUAAUACGUAGGGUGCGAGCGUUAAUCGGAAUUACUGGGCGUAAAGCGUGCGCAGGCGGUUAUGUAAGACAGAUGUGAAAUCCCCGGGCUCAACCUGGGAACUGCAUUUGUGACUGCAUGGCUAGAGUACGGUAGAGGGGGAUGGAAUUCCGCGUGUAGCAGUGAAAUGCGUAGAUAUGCGGAGGAACACCGAUGGCGAAGGCAAUCCCCUGGACCUGUACUGACG